AUGCAUGUGAUGAGGAGGGAUGCCAGGCCGUGUUGUGUGGAUGGGGAGGAGGUGAGCAGCGCCGAGGAGCCUCUCCUGCGUCCAGGGUCGCCCCCUCCUCAGCCUGCCCAAUGCGGGCGCGCGGGGACCUGCCACAUCCCAUCCCCGCAGCUGGAGGAGGCAGGGGCUGAGCGGGUAGGGGGUGGGGGUCCAAACUCCCGAGCUCUGAGCGCAGAACCUCGGAGCUGCGAAGCCCCAGACGGCGAAGUUAGGAAGUCGGGGCGCCCGCCCCUCCCCCGGCCCCCUUCCACCCUCGCUGCGCCCCUACUCGCCGCGCCCCCAGCCCCCCGCCGGAGCCUUCCUUACCUUCCCCAGCAGCAGCCGCCCGCCGGCGAGGACUCGAUCCGGCGAGUUGCAAAUCCCCGCGAGUGCCUCGCGUCGCCCGCGGCCGAGCCGGGCGCCCGACCGGAGGGGGGGCUCCUCCAGCCGCCGCCGCCCCCGGCCGGCUCCGGGCCUCGCCGGGACGCCCCCUGGAGCGCACCCGCCGGCGCACGCAGGCAGCCUCCCCUUCCUCCCCGCUGCAGGAGCCCCCCGGGCGCCCGGAGGGUCGGGAUGUCGACGCUGCGGACGACGCUGGGCGCGCGGGCCCGAGCCGGGCCAGGACGCUGCGCUGCCGCCUGUGCUCCGGGCUCACCGGCUCCGCGCUCGCUCCGCCGGGGCCGCCGCCAACGCCGCGCCCGCCGCCACCGCUCCCUCUCCGGCCGCCGCCGCUGCCGCUCCGCUCCUCUCGCCUGCCCGGCUCUUCUCGCCUUUUUUCCCCUUCCUGGGGGGGGGGGGGCGAGCCGAGCCGAGCCGGGGGCGGGGCGGCGCGGGGAGGAGGAGGAGGCCGAGGACGAGGAGAAGGAGGAGGAGAGAGGCGAGAGCUGCUUCCCCCCACCCGGCUGCCGGCGCUCCCCAAUCUCUCGCUCUCUGAAACUGGAUCCCGAAUCGGGAGCCAGAGACUGCAUUACGGAUUACAUCAGGCUUUAUAGAGCUUCCAGAUCACACAUUAGAGGGGGAGCGCGAGCGGGGGGCGGGGGCGCGGGGGGAGGGGAGCGAGAUAAGGUGGGGGGCGGAUAA
RNAcentral lists this long non-coding RNA (1098 nucleotides) under Callithrix jacchus (white-tufted-ear marmoset). Its description in RNAcentral is "lncRNA (ENSCJAG00000065899.2)". The record is from RNAcentral. Lineage: Eukaryota; Metazoa; Chordata; Mammalia; Primates; Cebidae.